AGUGAACGCUGGCGGUAGGCCUAACACAUGCAAGUCGAACGGCAGCACAGUAAUAGCUUGCUCUUACGGGUGGCGAGUGGCGGACGGGUGCUGAAUACAUCGGAAUCUACUUUUUCGUGGGGGCUAACGUAGGGAAACUUACGCUAAUACCGCAUACGACCUACGGGUGAAAGCAUGGGAUCUUCGGACCUUGCGUGAUUGUAUGAGCCGAUGUCGGAUUAGCUAGUUGGCGGGGUAAAGGCCCAACAAGGCGACGCUCCGUAGCUGGGCUGAGCGGGUGAACAGGCAAAAUGGAAAUGAGACACGGUCCAAAAUCCUAAGGGAGGCAGCAGGUGGGAAUAUUGGAAAAUGGGGGGAAGGCUGAUCCAGCCAAACCGCGGGGGGGAAGAAGGCGUUCGGGUCGGAAAAGCCUUUUGUUGGGAAAGAAAAGCAGCAAGUUAAAAACCCGCUGGUCUGAAGGUACCCAAAGAAUAAGCACCGGCUAACUUCGGG
Molecule: ribosomal RNA, 492 nt
Filed under: uncultured bacterium
Lineage: Bacteria
Description: partial 16S ribosomal RNA
Rfam family: Bacterial small subunit ribosomal RNA
Source: RNAcentral